Long non-coding RNA from Haliotis rubra (blacklip abalone), 341 nucleotides. RefSeq lists it as uncharacterized. The transcript has 3 exons. The record is from RefSeq and is a predicted model, not a curated record. Lineage: Eukaryota; Metazoa; Mollusca; Gastropoda; Lepetellida; Haliotidae.
CACACUGCGAAUUUCGAGUGGUAUCGACAAUUUCGGAACAGUACAGGUUCAUCUGGUCCUCUGCAUCCUUGUCUCGUGGGUUCUUGCAUUUCUGUGUAUGGUUAAAGGUGUGAAGUCUGUUGGAAAGGUUGUGUACGUGACUGACCUCCUUCCCUACGUUCUCCUGACGGUUUUGCUGGUCAGGUCGUGCAUGAUGCCGGGUGCGGGGGACGGUAUACUGUAUUUCCUUAGUCCAGACUUCUCUCGGCUUGGAAAUGUACAGGUUUGGCUGGAAGCUUUGCUACAAGGUUUUUUUUCCAUGAGUACAACAGCCGGAGGCCUCAUCACCAUGAGCAGCUACA